This 478-nucleotide ribosomal RNA is filed under the name uncultured bacterium. RNAcentral's name for it is "partial 16S ribosomal RNA". It matches the Rfam family "Bacterial small subunit ribosomal RNA", at positions 28 to 523 of the family's 1533-position model. The record is from RNAcentral.
GACGAACGCUGGCGGCGUGCUUAACACAUGCAAGUCGAACGGUAAGGCCCUUCGGGGUACACGAGUGGCGAACGGGUGAGUAACACGUGGGUGAUCUGCCCUGCACUUCGGGAUAAGCCUGGGAAACUGGGUCUAAUACCGGAUAGGACUCCGGACUGCAUGGUCUGGGGUGGAAAGCUUUUGCGGUGUGGGAUGGGCCCGCGGCCUAUCAGCUUGUUGGUGGGGUGAUGGCCUACCAAGGCGACGACGGGUAGCCGGCCUGAGAGGGUGACCGGCCACGCUGGGACUGAGUUACGGCCCAGACUCCUACGGGAGGCAGCAGUGGGGAAUAUUGCACAAUGGGCGCAAGCCUGAUGCGGCGACGCCGCGUGAGGGAUGACGGCCUUCGGGUUGUAAACCUCUUUCAGUAGGGACGAAGCGCAAGUGACGGUACCUACAGAAGAAGGACCGGCCAACUACGUGCCAGCCGCCGCGGUAA